Molecule: long non-coding RNA, 1062 nt
Organism: Glossina fuscipes
Lineage: Eukaryota; Metazoa; Arthropoda; Insecta; Diptera; Glossinidae
Exons: 3
Source: RefSeq, a predicted model, not a curated record
AUUUUGCACACAAUCACUGGCAGAUCAUAGACCAAAUGUUUCCGGACUCUUUUUAUGUUUUUUUGUUAUUCCGCGGUUUACGCAUAAUUGUGGAAAUUACAAAAACAUAGUUUGUGAUUCAGGAGGUCGCAGUACGUUGUUAUUAUAACAACAGAGUGUAAUGCCACAGUGUAAAGAACCAAUUAUUAAAAAUUUUAAAAAAUUAUAAAGGUGUAAAAAAGUGGAAGAUAAAAUAAUUAAAAUUUUUUUGUGUGAAUUUGUCGAAAAAUGCAAAGAAACAUUUGAAGAGUAAGAACGACUCGCUUCUAUUUCGUACUUAUUCAAUGAAAGACUUUUAGAUUACAACCAUUAAAAUGCAGCGUAUAUAAUUUUGCAUGCUGCAUUCUGGACAAUAUCUUUAUGGAAAGCCGAAUUAAUGCUGAAAUGGAUUCAAAAUCAACUAAUUCUGGGAACGACGCUAUCACCAUCGACAAUCCAAACGACAUCCAAAAGGAAUUAGUACAACAUACAUAUGUAACGGAAUAAAAUUUGUCCUGAUAGUCUUCUAAUGUAUAAAGCUGUUAUCUACGAAGACUUUAAACAAUGUUUCGCUGUUCUGGGGCCAUUCUUCACACUCCAUGCAUAAAGGUCUCCUUUCCAAUAAUUUGUAUUAGGAAGAGGCCGAACUUUGUUUUCCUUCUCGUUAAUUCGACGUCGGUAAGGUGAGUGUCCCACGUCUUUUGCGACAUGAGAUCGUAUUAUGUGUAAUAUGGAUCUGUUGACUCGUUCAGCUGCGUUUGCUUGCGGUGCGUAGAAGCCUGUCCUGAUGGACGUCAUAUUUCUGCAGGAACUCCUGAAUAGCCACUAAAACGAAGUGCCAUUAUCUGAGUGUAUCAUUUCUAGCACUCCAAAUAUGUGGAAAACGUCUUGCUCCAAGUAUCUGAUCACUCCCUCGGCACCAGCUUUCCUCAUUGGUUUUAGAAGCACGUACUUGGAAAACUGAUCCAGGCAGACGAAUAUACAGGUGUUGCCGUGCAACAGCACACCUCACAGCUGCUCACCAAGUCUCUCACUUCAGUUGCC